RNAcentral lists this ribosomal RNA (253 nucleotides) under uncultured bacterium. Its description in RNAcentral is "partial 16S ribosomal RNA". It matches the Rfam family "Bacterial small subunit ribosomal RNA", at positions 524 to 776 of the family's 1533-position model. The record is from RNAcentral.
UACGGAGGGUGCGAGCGUUGUCCGGAAUCAUUGGGCGUAAAGGGCGCGUAGGUGGCGGGACAAGCGUGCGGUGAAAGCCUGGGGCUCAACCCCGGGUCGGCCGUGCGAACUGUUUUGCUUGAGCACUGUAGAGGCAGGCGGAAUUCCGGGUGUAGCGGUGGAAUGCGUAGAGAUCCGGAAGAACACCGGUGGCGAAGGCGACAUCCUGGACCGGUAUUGACGCUGAGGCGCGAAAGCCAGGGGAGCAAACGGG